Molecule: ribosomal RNA, 539 nt
Filed under: uncultured bacterium
Lineage: Bacteria
Description: bacterial SSU rRNA
Rfam family: Bacterial small subunit ribosomal RNA
Source: RNAcentral
AAUAGAUACCCAGGUAGUCCACGCCGUAAACGAUGAGUGCUAAGUGUUAGGGGGUUUCCGCCCCUUAGUGCUGCAGCUAACGCAUUAAGCACUCCGCCUGGGGAGUACGGUCGCAAGACUGAAACUCAAAGGAAUUGACGGGGGCCCGCACAAGCGGUGGAGCAUGUGGUUUAAUUCGAAGCAACGCGAAGAACCUUACCAGGUCUUGACAUCCCGCUGAUCGGCCUAGAGAUAGGCUUUUCCCUUCGGGGACAGCGGUGACAGGUGGUGCAUGGUUGUCGUCAGCUCGUGUCGUGAGAUGUUGGGUUAAGUCCCGCAACGAGCGCAACCCUUGAUCUUAGUUGCCAGCAUUCAGUUGGGCACUCUAAGGUGACUGCCGGUGAUAAACCGGAGGAAGGUGGGGAUGACGUCAAAUCAUCAUGCCCCUUAUGACCUGGGCUACACACGUGCUACAAUGGACGGUACAGAGGGUCGCAACCCCGCGAGGGUGAGCUAAUCCCAUAAAACCGUUCUCAGUUCGGAUUGUAGGCUGCAACUCG